AGCAGCCGCGGUAAUUCCAGCUCCAAUAGCGUAUAUUAAAGUUGUUGCAGUUAAAAAGCUCGUAGUUGAAUUUCGGGAUCAAUAUAUUGGUCAUGCUUAGGUAUGUACUGGUAUUAUUGAUUUCUCCCUUCUGAAGAACCAUAAUGUCAUUAAUUUGAUGUCAUGGGGAAUCAGGACUGUUACUUUGAAAAAAUUAGAGUGUUUAAAGCAGGCUUUCGCUUGAAUACAUUAGCAUGGAAUAAUGAAAUAGGACGUUUGAUUCUAUUUUGUUGGUUUCUAGGAUCGACGUAAUGAUUAAUAGGGAUAGUUGGGGGCAUUAGUAUUCAAUUGUCAGAGGUGAAAUUCUUGGAUUUAUUGAAGACUAACUACUGCGAAAGCAUUUGCCAAAGAUGUUUUCAUUAAUCAAGAACGAAAGUUAGGGGAUCGAAGACGAUCAGAUACCGUCGUAGUCUUAACCAUAAACUAUGCCGACUAGGGAUCGGAUGAUGUUAAUUUUUAAUGACUCAUUC
RNAcentral lists this ribosomal RNA (509 nucleotides) under uncultured Glomus. RNAcentral describes it as "SSU rRNA". It matches the Rfam family "Eukaryotic small subunit ribosomal RNA", at positions 569 to 1081 of the family's 1831-position model. Lineage: Eukaryota; Fungi; Glomeromycota; Glomeromycetes; Glomerales; Glomeraceae. The record is from RNAcentral.